RNAcentral lists this ribosomal RNA (481 nucleotides) under uncultured bacterium. RNAcentral describes it as "partial 16S ribosomal RNA". It matches the Rfam family "Bacterial small subunit ribosomal RNA", at positions 28 to 507 of the family's 1533-position model. The record is from RNAcentral.
GUUGAACGCUGGCGGCGUGCCUAACACAUGCAAGUCGAACGGAGAUUACGGACGGAAGUCUUCGGAUGGAAGACUGUAAUUCUUAGUGGCGGACGGGUGAGUAACGCGUGGGCAACCUGCGCUAUACAGGGGGAUAGCAGCUGGAAACGGCUGGUAAGACCGCAUAAGGCGGCGAGACCGCAUGGUUUUGUCGGGAAAUGAGCAAUCAGGUAUAGGAUGGGCCGGGGUCCGAUUAGCCAGGUGGGAGGGUAAAAGCCUACCAAAGCAACGAUCGGUAGCCGGACUGAGAGGUCGGACGGCCACAUUGGGACUGAGACACGGCCCAAACUCCUACGGGAGGCAGCAGUGGGGGAUAUUGCACAAUGGAGGAAACUCUGAUGCAGCGACGCCGCGUGAGUGAAGAAGUAUUUCGGUAUGUAAAGCUCUAUCAGCAGGGAAGAUGAUGACGGUACCUGACUAAGAAGCCCCGGCUAACUACGUG